CAGAGGGUGCAAGCGUUGUUCGGAAUUACUGGGCGUAAAGCGCGUGUAGGCGGUCUUUCAAGUCCUGUGUGAAAGCCCUGGGCUCAACCCAGGAAGUGCGCAGGAUACUGAUUGACUGGAGUGGCGGAGAGGAUGGCGGAAUUCCCGGUGUAGAGGUGAAAUUCGUAGAUAUCGGGAGGAACACCUGUGGCGAAGGCGGCCAUCUGGACGUUCACUGACGCUGAGACGCGAAAGCGUGGGUAGCAAACAGGAUUAGAUACCCUGGUAGUCCACGCUGUAAACGAUGGAUGCUAGAUGUCACGGGUAUUGACCCCUGUGGUGUCGACGCUAACGCAUUAAGCAUCCCGCCUGGGGAGUACGGCCGCAAGGUUA
Molecule: ribosomal RNA, 372 nt
Filed under: uncultured organism
Description: bacterial SSU rRNA
Rfam family: Bacterial small subunit ribosomal RNA
Source: RNAcentral